This 1022-nucleotide long non-coding RNA is filed under the name Calidris pugnax (ruff). RNAcentral's name for it is "lncRNA (ENSCPUG00000003699.1)". Lineage: Eukaryota; Metazoa; Chordata; Aves; Charadriiformes; Scolopacidae. The record is from RNAcentral.
CCUCGUUGGAGCUGGGCAGUGGUACGGUGUGGCAGAUGCUGAAAUUUUGGACAUGAGUAUUGAUCUGCUUGAGGGUAGAGAGGCUUUGCAGAGGCAUCUGGACAGGCUGGAUGGACGGGCCAAGGCCAAUGGUGUGAGGUUGAACAAGAUCAGGUGUCAGGUCCUGCACUUGGGUCACACCAACCCCAUGGAUGCUCCAGGCUGGCGGCAGAGUGGCUGGAGCUGCCCGGCAGAAAAGGACCUGGGGGUGUUGGUUGACUGUCGGCUGAACAUGAGCCAGCAGUGUGCCCAGGUGGCCGAAAAGGCCACCAGCAUCCUGGCCUGUGUCAGGAAGAGUAUGGCCAGCAGGACUGGGGCAGUGACCGUCCCCCUGUACUGGGCACUGGGGAGGCCCCACCUCGAGGGCUGUGUCCAGUUUUGGGUCCCUCACCACAAAAAAGACAUUGAGGGGCUGGAGCGGGUCCAGAGAAGGGCAAUGAAGCUUGUGAGGGGUCUGGAGAGUAAGUCUUAUGAGGAGAGGCUGAGGGACCUGGGGGUGUUUAGUCUGGAGAAAAGGAGGCUGAGGGGAGACCUUCUGGCUCUCUCCAAUUCCCUAAAAGGAGGGUGUAGCCAGGGGAGGUCGGUCUCUGCUCCCAAGGAACAGGUGAUGGGACGAGAGGAAACGGCCUCAAGUUGUCCCGGGGGAGGUUUAGGAUGGAUGUUGGGAACAAUUUCUUCACCGAAAGGGUUGCCAAACAUCUGAAGAGGCUGUCCAGGGCAGUGAUGGAGUCACCAUCCCUGGAGGUAUUUAAAAGCCAGGCAGACGUGGUGCUGAGGGACAUGGGGUAGGGGUGGCCUUGUCAGUGUUGGGUUGAUGGUUUGACUCGAUGAUCUGAAAAUCCCUUCCAACCUUGGCAAUUCUAUGAUUCUAUGAAAUUAAGACAUUGCUAAAAUUAAAUUCAAUACUAUUUGAAAAAUACUCCAAGGGCUGGAAUAAGCAGUAGUUGGAGCUGUUCCCUUGUGCUUUGAAAAUAAAGAGCGGU